CCAAACAUAUCCAUAAGUGAAAUCUGUAUAAAAUUUACAAAGUAAUACUCAUCUCCUUCUUCUACCAUCUCAAGUAUCUGGAAAACAAAAACAUAGAAUCUCAUUAGAAAUCCCCAAUAGCUAGUAUUUGAAGAAAUUCAAUCUACUCUUCUUGAAUAAUUUGAUUUCUUGAGCAAGUGGAAGCUAAUUGAGAUUGUUUUGGAAAUUAGAGAAUUCUGGGAUUGAAGAAAUCAAGUAAAAUCUCAUCUCUAUCCUCUUUUGGUAAUAGUUCUUUUGGUAGAAGCUCUUUUUGGUUGGAUUAGUGAAGUAGAUCUUUAAUUUUGGGUGGAUUACAAAGUGCUGAGAAGAAUUUGCUCAAAGGAUAGAUCCAUUUUCAGGUUAGCUCUGCGGUGGAAAGCAUGCCUACAUGUAUUAUGUGUUACUGGCGAGGCGAGGACUUCUUUUGGAAAUACAUUUUGUAAAUUAGUUAUUCGUAAAUUAAAUUGUAAUAAUUUCAUAAUAUUUUGUAAAUAGUAUUUACUUAUUUAGGUAAAAAGUUUUAAAUAACUCUGAUAUUAGUUUGCUGUGAUCAUCGAAUCACAGGUCGAAUUCAGUCCAAACCACUAUAAGUCUUCCAUUGUGUUGUGGACAAUAUUAUUAUACUGUU
Molecule: long non-coding RNA, 646 nt
Organism: Amaranthus tricolor (Joseph's coat)
Lineage: Eukaryota; Viridiplantae; Streptophyta; Magnoliopsida; Caryophyllales; Amaranthaceae
Exons: 3
Source: RefSeq, a predicted model, not a curated record